This 460-nucleotide ribosomal RNA is filed under the name uncultured bacterium. RNAcentral describes it as "partial 16S ribosomal RNA". It matches the Rfam family "Bacterial small subunit ribosomal RNA", at positions 338 to 795 of the family's 1533-position model. The record is from RNAcentral.
CCUACGGGAGGCAGCAGUGAGGAAUAUUGGUCAAUGGGCGUAAGCCUGAACCAGCCAAGCCGCGUGAGGGAUGAAGGUUCUAUGGAUCGUAAACCUCUUUUAGAGGGGAAUAAAGUGUGGGACGCGUCCUGUUUUGUAUGUACCUUAUGAAGAAGGAUCGGCUAACGACGUGCCAGCAGCCGCGGUAAUACGGAGGAUCCGAGCGUUAUCCGGAUUUAUUGGGUUUAAAGGGUGCGAAGGCGGCCCUUUAAGUCAGCGGUGAAAGUCCGUGGCUCAACCAUAGAAUUGCCGUUGAAACUGGGAGUCUUGAGUAUGGUUGAGGCAGGCGGAAUGCGUGGUGUAGCGGUGAAAUGCUUAGAUAUCACGCAGAACCCCGAUUGCGAAGGCAGAUUGCCGAGCCAUGACUGACGCUGAGGCACGAAAGCGUGGGGAUCAAACAGGAUUAGAUACCCGGGUAGUC